CCUGCCCUGUGACAUAUGUUUAACGGCCGCGGUAUCUUGACCGUGCAAAGGUAGCGCAAUCACUUGUCUUUUAAAUGAAGACCUGUAUGAAUGGCAAAACGAGGGCUUAACUGUCUCCUCCUCCCAGUCAAUGAAAUUGAUCUCCCCGUGCAGAAGCGGGGAUAAUUACAUAAGACGAGAAGACCCUAUGGAGCUUUAGACACAAGAGCAGAUCAUGUUAAACCCCUGAGAAGAGCCAGGAGGAAACCAAUUGAGCCCUGCUCCCUGUCUUUGGUUGGGGCGACCGCGGGGGACCAAAAAACCCCCGAGUGGAAUGAGAAAACUACUCUUAAAACCAAGAGCUACAGCUCUAAGAAUCAGAACAUCUGACCUUUAAGAUCCGGCACAGCCGAUCAACGAACCGAGUUACCCUAGGGAUAACAGCGCAAUCCCCUUUUAGAGCCCAUAUCGACAAGGGGGUUUACGACCUCGAUGUUGGAUCAGGACAUCCUAAUGGUGCAGCCGCUAUUAAGGGUUCGUUUGUUCAACGAUUAA
This 534-nucleotide ribosomal RNA is filed under the name Apricaphanius saourensis. RNAcentral describes it as "partial 16S ribosomal RNA". It matches the Rfam family "Bacterial large subunit ribosomal RNA", at positions 1858 to 2591 of the family's 2925-position model. The record is from RNAcentral. Lineage: Eukaryota; Metazoa; Chordata; Actinopteri; Cyprinodontiformes; Aphaniidae.